RNAcentral lists this ribosomal RNA (371 nucleotides) under uncultured bacterium. RNAcentral's name for it is "bacterial SSU rRNA". It matches the Rfam family "Bacterial small subunit ribosomal RNA", at positions 29 to 390 of the family's 1533-position model. The record is from RNAcentral.
AAUGAACGCUGGCGGCGCGCCUAAUACAUGCAAGUCGAGCGAGAAGACGUAGCAAUACGUUUGUAAAGCGGCGAACGGGUGGGGAAUACAUGGGUAACCUACCCUCGAGUGGGGAAUAACUAGCCGAAAGGUUAGCUAAUACCGCGUACGCUUCUUGGACUUCGGUUCAGGGAGGAAAGCGAUGCCGAGGGUAUCGCGCUCUUGGAUGGGCUCAUGUCCUAUCAGCUUGUUGGUGNGGUAACGGCUCACCAAGGCUUCGACGGGUAGCUGGUCUGAGAGGACGAUCAUCCACACUGGCACUGCGACACGGGCCAGACUCCUACGGGAGGCAGCAGUAAGGAAUAUUGCGCAAUGGGCGAAAGCCUGACGCA